AAAGAUUUGUCACUGCCCAGCAAAGAGGGAUCUUAAUGAAGACGUUGGUCCUUGCAAGGCACAAAUCCAUUUGGAUCCGCUGGCUUAAAGGGAUGUGCAGCUGUGUGCAGGAAUGGGGGAUUUCCCCCUCUGAAGCAGCGUGGUGCUGCAGGACGUGGAGCGUUCACCUCAGUGCCAGGAGCUGCUGCUGCAGGGCAGCCUCACCCCUGUUUGUACGAAUGGACCUGCAGAUGAAUGAAAUCUCAUUUUCCUGCUGUGACACCACGACAGAGGUCAGAAAUCAACCCAGGUCUCCUGAGCCGCCGCCCCUGAGCACGAACCACAAAGAUUCUUUCGCCCUCUCCAUUUCUCAACUGCUGGUAAUUACACUUAGAAAAGCUCUGGAAGCCAAAACAAACAAGGGAGAGGUUUCCAGUGAGCUUUCAGUUUGUUACGAGUCCUUCCAAGAGGGUUUUGUGCACGAGGCAAUGCAGAAAGUUCUCACAUUGCUGAGCCUUCUCCUCGUGUCUCUGUGCCAGGCGUUUGUGUCCGAGCUGACAUCGCCCUCCUUGGACGGGAUGUUUUCUCCCUCUCACAUGAUGGGAAAAACAAAUUCCAGGCUGAAUCAGGACUCAGCCAACGUGAUCUGGAUUGGUUUCAAAGGACAAGGAAUUUGGUCACUCAGGACCUACCUCAGAACCGACUGGAAGUAAUUUUAUGCAUUUUUUUUAUUCCCUGCCACGUUACAAAGAGUGACCUCAUGGGCAGAGCACUCAUGGGUGACAGCAAAUGUCCACAGAUUUCCUAUUCAUUAUAUUUAAUUUUAAAUACAACCAGUGGGGAGGAAAAAAAUAGGCAUUGAUUGGAUUUUUCUAUGCUACAUAAUAUUUUCAUGGAUUAGAAAAUUCCAGCACCUCCUUGCUCUGCACUGAGUCAUUGGAAUGUGCUUAUCACAGGUGAAUCUAUUGGAGAAAAUCAUCUGUAUUGCCUUUUUUUUUCCUUGGAGCCUGUUCGUCCAUGAUCUCAUGGAGCUUCCCAAGAGUUGGCUGAAGUCUGGGCACUGUGUCCCUCUAAUUAGUGAUAAAAUCUCACCUGGCACCGCAUUUUACCAUCAGCACAAGUUAUCUGGGAGAUCUCAUUCAAGAGAAACCUGUGGGAAUGUUUCAAUCCUGUUAUUGACUUUUCUUCCCAAGCUUUGUAAUUAAUUCCCUCUGCCCCGGGCGGGCUGGAUUAGCGGGGACAGCUGAGCUGGGCUCUGGCACAAACGCCUGUGUCCGUCUGUGUGUCCCUGCCCCACCACUGGUGACUCUCCCUUUGCUUCCAGAGUCUGAUAAAACCAUGGAGAUGUAAAAGUAACACAUGGUGACGUUUAAAAUUAAUUAAAAACUAAGGAUGCUCCAGCCCACAGGAGCAGGGCAAGGUGGGAGGCACCCAUUUGCCUUUUAAUUCCCUGUCUUCAAACCUCACAGAUUUCUAGGAAUAAAGCAUCUCAUAUCAUUCUCCAACUUGGAACUCUACAGGGUGAAAGACAUGACAGACCCUGAAGAAUUCCUUUGAUGAGACAUCGGCUUCCAAGGCAGCGAUUUUUUAUAAGAGUUUGGGCCAACGGUGCAGCUGAGGCAUCGAUCCCUUUUCCAAGAGAAGCCCGGGAUGGGCUCGUACCCCUUGAGCUCAGCUCAAAUUCAUCACAGGCAGUGCCAGGGGGGCAGUGCCAGCUCUGUGCUGCUGCAGGAGCCAGGUGAAUGUGCCUGCAAGGGAAUGACUGAGGCAGCUGCGAGGGGUAAGUUUCAUCUCCUCAGUCCUCAAGGAGAAAACAACUUUGCUCGCCAUCCCAGUCCUCCUGGAAGCUGCUCUGCUUAAAAAUUAAAGGAUGGAAAUGGGUUUUCUUGUGAGGUUUGUUCUGUUUCACCACUCAAGCUGAAGGUGAAGAAUUGUUGGUUCAAAUAUGGUUCAAAUUUGUGGGGAUAUAGAGAGAGAAUUAUGGAACGGUUUGGG
Corvus hawaiiensis (hawaiian crow) is the source of this 1974-nucleotide long non-coding RNA. RefSeq lists it as uncharacterized. Lineage: Eukaryota; Metazoa; Chordata; Aves; Passeriformes; Corvidae. The transcript has 3 exons. The record is from RefSeq and is a predicted model, not a curated record.